GGGUUGUGAGGUUAAGCGACUAAGCGUACACGGUGGAUGCCCUGGCAGUCAGAGGCGAUGAAGGACGUGCUAAUCUGCGAAAAGCGUCGGUAAGGUGAUAUGAACCGUUAUAGCCGGCGAUGUCCGAAUGGGGAAACCCAGUGUGAUUCGUCACACUAUCGUUAACUGAAUACAUAGGUUAACGAGGCGAACCGGGGGAACUGAAACAUCUAAGUACCCCGAGGAAAAGAAAUCAACCGAGAUUCCCCCAGUAGCGGCGAGCGAACGGGGAGCAGCCCAGAGUCUGAAUCAGCUUGUGUGUUAGUGGAACGGUCUGGAAAGUCCGACGGUACAGGGUGAUAGUCCCGUACACCAAAAUGCACAGGUUGUGAACUCGAAGAGUAGGGCGGGACACGUGGUAUCCUGUCUGAAUAUGGGGGGACCAUCCUCCAAGGCUAAAUACUCCUGACUGACCGAUAGUGAACCAGUACCGUGAGGGAAAGGCGAAAAGAACCCCGGCGAGGGGAGUGAAAAAGAACCUGAAACCGUGUACGUACAAGCAGUGGGAGCACCUUCGGGUGUGACUGCGUACCUUUUGUAUAAUGGGUCAGCGACUUAUAUUCUGUAGCAAGGUUAACCGUAUAGGGGAGCCGCAGGGAAACCGAGUCUUAACUGGGCGUUAAGUUGCAGGGUAUAGACCCGAAACCCGGUGAUCUAGCCAUGGGCAGGUUGAAGGUUGGGUAACACUAACUGGAGGACCGAACCGACUAAUGUUGAAAAAUUAGCGGAUGACUUGUGGCUGGGGGUGAAAGGCCAAUCAAACCGGGAGAUAGCUGGUUCUCCCCGAAAGCUAUUUAGGUAGCGCCUCGUGAACUCAUCUUCGGGGGUAGAGCACUGUUUCGGCUAGGGGGUCAUCCCGACUUACCAACCCGAUGCAAACUACGAAUACCGAAGAAUGUUAUCACGGGAGACACACGGCGGGUGCUAACGUCCGUCGUGAAGAGGGAAACAACCCAGACCGCCAGCUAAGGUCCCAAAGUCAUGGUUAAGUGGGAAACGAUGUGGGAAGGCACAGACAGCCAGGAUGUUGGCUUAGAAGCAGCCAUCAUUUAAAGAAAGCGUAAUAGCUCACUGGUCGAGUCGGCCUGCGCGGAAGAUGUAACGGGGCUAAACCAUGCACCGAAGCUGCGGCAGCGACACUAUGUGUUGUUGGGUAGGGGAGCGUUCUGUAAGCCUGCGAAGGUGACCUGUGAGGGUUGCUGGAGGUAUCAGAAGUGCGAAUGCUGACAUAAGUAACGAUAAAGCGGGUGAAAAGCCCGCUCGCCGGAAGACCAAGGGUUCCUGUCCAACGUUAAUCGGGGCAGGGUGAGUCGACCCCUAAGGCGAGGCCGAAAGGCGUAGUCGAUGGGAAACAGGUUAAUAUUCCUGUACUUGGUGUUACUGCGAAGGGGGGACGGAGAAGGCUAUGUUAGCCGGGCGACGGUUGUCCCGGUUUAAGCAUGUAGGCUGGUUGUCCAGGCAAAUCCGGAUAAUCAAGGCUGAGGUGUGAUGACGAGGCACUACGGUGCUGAAGUAACAAAUGCCCUGCUUCCAGGAAAAGCCUCUAAGCAUCAGGUAACAUCAAAUCGUACCCCAAACCGACACAGGUGGUCAGGUAGAGAAUACCAAGGCGCUUGAGAGAACUAGGGUGAAGGAACUAGGCAAAAUGGUGCCGUAACUUCGGGAGAAGGCACGCUGGUGUGUAGGUGAAGUCCCUGCGGAUGGAGCUGAGACCAGUCGAAGAUACCAGCUGGCUGCAACUGUUUAUUAAAAACACAGCACUGUGCAAACACGAAAGUGGACGUAUACGGUGUGACGCCUGCCCGGUGCCGGAAGGUUAAUUGAUGGGGUUAUCCGUAAGGAGAAGCUCUUGAUCGAAGCCCCGGUAAACGGCGGCCGUAACUAUAACGGUCCUAAGGUAGCGAAAUUCCUUGUCGGGUAAGUUCCGACCUGCACGAAUGGCGUAAUGAUGGCCAGGCUGUCUCCACCCGAGACUCAGUGAAAUUGAACUCGCUGUGAAGAUGCAGUGUACCCGCGGCAAGACGGAAAGACCCCGUGAACCUUUACUAUAGCUUGACACUGAACAUUGAGCCUUGAUGUGUAGGAUAGGUGGGAGGCUUUGAAGCGUGGACGCCAGUCUGCGUGGAGCCAACCUUGAAAUACCACCCUUUAAUGUUUGAUGUUCUAACGUUGGCCCCUGACCGGGGUUGCGGACAGUGUCUGGUGGGUAGUUUGACUGGGGCGGUCUCCUCCCAAAGCGUAACGGAGGAGCACGAAGGUUAGCUAAUCCUGGUCGGACAUCAGGAGGUUAGUGCAAUGGCAUAAGCUAGCUUGACUGCGAGCGUGACGGCGCGAGCAGGUGCGAAAGCAGGUCAUAGUGAUCCGGUGGUUCUGAAUGGAAGGGCCAUCGCUCAACGGAUAAAAGGUACUCCGGGGAUAACAGGCUGAUACCGCCCAAGAGUUCAUAUCGACGGCGGUGUUUGGCACCUCGAUGUCGGCUCAUCACAUCCUGGGGCUGAAGUAGGUCCCAAGGGUAUGGCUGUUCGCCAUUUAAAGUGGUACGCGAGCUGGGUUUAGAACGUCGUGAGACAGUUCGGUCCCUAUCUGCCGUGGGCGCUGGAGAAUUGAGGGGGGCUGCUCCUAGUACGAGAGGACCGGAGUGGACGCAUCACUGGUGUUCGGGUUGUCAUGCCAAUGGCACUGCCCGGUAGCUAAAUGCGGAAGAGAUAAGUGCUGAAAGCAUCUAAGCACGAAACUUGCCCCGAGAUGAGUUCUCCCUGAGACUUUAAGUCUCCUGAAGGAACGUUAAAGACGAUGACGUUGAUAGGCCGGGUGUGUAAGCGCAGCGAUGCGUUGAGCUAACCGGUACUAAUGAACCGUGAGGCUUAACCUUACAACGCCGAAG
This 2923-nucleotide ribosomal RNA is filed under the name Klebsiella pneumoniae. Its description in RNAcentral is "23S ribosomal RNA". It matches the Rfam family "Bacterial large subunit ribosomal RNA". The record is from RNAcentral. Lineage: Bacteria; Pseudomonadati; Pseudomonadota; Gammaproteobacteria; Enterobacterales; Enterobacteriaceae.